Non-coding RNA from Pelodiscus sinensis (Chinese soft-shelled turtle), 74 nucleotides. The record is from the annotation of a RefSeq genome assembly. NCBI's taxonomy places the organism in Eukaryota, Metazoa, Chordata, Testudines, Trionychidae.
GGCACCAUGGCUUAGCUGGCUAAAGUGCCUGCCUUGUAAGCAGGAAAUCCUGGGGUCAAAUCCCAGUAGUGCCU